RNAcentral lists this transfer RNA (94 nucleotides) under Synergistaceae bacterium. Its description in RNAcentral is "tRNA-Sec". It matches the Rfam family "Selenocysteine transfer RNA". Lineage: Bacteria; Thermotogati; Synergistota; Synergistia; Synergistales; Synergistaceae. The record is from RNAcentral.
GGGGGUGAAUGUCGUCUGGUGGCGGUCGCGGACUUCAAAUCCGUCGUGGGGCUCAAACGUCCCUGGUGAGUUCGAUUCUCACGCGCCCCCGCCA